RNAcentral lists this transfer RNA (71 nucleotides) under Heteropteryx dilatata (New Guinea walking stick). RNAcentral's name for it is "tRNA-Val". Lineage: Eukaryota; Metazoa; Arthropoda; Insecta; Phasmatodea; Heteropterygidae. The record is from RNAcentral.
CGGAAAUUAGUUUAUAGAAAAUAAUUCAUUUACAUUGAGUUGAAUUAGUGGUGCAAUACUUUAAUUUCUGA